AGUGAACGCUGGCGGUAGGCCUAACACAUGCAAGUCGAACGGCAGCACAGUAAGAGCUUGCUCUUACGGGUGGCGAGUGGCGGACGGGUGAGGAAUACAUCGGAAUCUACUUUUUCGUGGGGGAUCACGUAGGGAAACUUACUCUAAUACCGCAUACGACCUACGGGUGAAAGCAGUGGAUCUUCGGACCUUGCGCGAUUGAACGAGCCGCUGUUGAGUUAGCUAGUUGGCGGGGUAAAGGCCCACCAAGGCGACGAUCCGUAGCCGGUGUGAGAGGAUGAUCAGCCACACUGGAGCUGAGACACGGUCCAGACUCCUACGGGAGGCAGCAGUGGGGAAUAUUGGACAAUAGGCGCAAGCCUGAUCCAGCCAUACCGCGUGUGUGAAGAAGGCGUUCGGGUUGUAAAGCCCUUUUGUUGGGAGAGAAAAGCAGCAGGUUAAUACCCCGCUGUUCUGACGGUACCCAAAGAAUAAGCACCGGCUAACUUCGUG
RNAcentral lists this ribosomal RNA (492 nucleotides) under uncultured bacterium. RNAcentral describes it as "partial 16S ribosomal RNA". It matches the Rfam family "Bacterial small subunit ribosomal RNA", at positions 29 to 507 of the family's 1533-position model. The record is from RNAcentral.